RNAcentral lists this ribosomal RNA (271 nucleotides) under uncultured bacterium. Its description in RNAcentral is "partial 16S ribosomal RNA". It matches the Rfam family "Bacterial small subunit ribosomal RNA", at positions 524 to 791 of the family's 1533-position model. The record is from RNAcentral.
UACGUAGGGGGCGAGCGUUGUCCGGAUUCAUUGGGCGUAAAGCGCUUUAAGGCGGUUCGCUAAGUCGCGUGUGAAACCUCCAGGCUCAACCUGGAGACGCCACGCGAUACUGGCGUGACUAGAGUUCGGUAGGGGGAUCACGGAAUUCCUGGUGUAGCGGUGAAAUGCGCAGAUAUCAGGAGGAACACCGAUGGCGAAGGCAGGUCACUGGGCCGCGAACUGACGCUGGAGGAGCGAAAGCAUGGGGAGCGAACAGGAUAGAAACCCUAGU